This 5752-nucleotide long non-coding RNA is filed under the name Capsicum annuum. Its description in RNAcentral is "long non-coding RNA (CANN_LNC015586)". Lineage: Eukaryota; Viridiplantae; Streptophyta; Magnoliopsida; Solanales; Solanaceae. The record is from RNAcentral.
UUCCUUUUACAGCUAGACAAUUGACAAAUAAGCUGGGUAUAUAAAGAACAUAAGGUAUGAGUUGUCAUUAACAAAUAAGCUGGGUAUAUAAAGAACAUAAGGUAUGAGUUGUCAUUAGCAUAAAAGUCAUAUUAUCAACGAGGGAAAUUGGCACAACCAGACAUCUCAAACAUUGAUAAACAUUGAUAAGGGAAGAAUUAGGCCUUCAUUAGGAUAUUCCUUUCAUCCGCAUGGCAAGGCUUGCCAGUUUCCUGGAGUACACUCGCAUCUGGUUUGAUUCCAAGUAGGUCCUCCCCUAAAGUCGCUUUCAUGUUACCAAGAGGCACGGAUUUAAGCUGUGGAAAUAACGUCUAGUAAAAAUGACCCCUGCAUCGGGGGAGCUUUGGUGUACUGCACUCAAAUAGGUCGAGUAAAGCUGUUCAUCGAAGCUAGUAUGAUGGCUUCGUAGUGAGUGUUGUUGUUGGGAUUUGGAUAUGGAAUCUCCAGGUUGUUACUCGUAUGACUCAACGCUUAACCACCCUUUUAGGACAAUGAAACUUUAUUAUUGCUUCUAGCAAGUUUCUUUUUCCGAUGUGCUAGUUUGUUCAGGGUGUUAACUGUUUAUUCUGAGUAGAGAAUGCAUAAAUAUCAGCCAGUUGCCAGCUUAUUGAAAUUAUACUUUUUGUUUGUUACCUUUGCUACCAUCUGAUAGUUACACGUGGGAAUUUGGAAGGUUUUAUCUGCAUCAUCAACAUAAACUCUCUUAAACUGCAAGUUUGAAUUACACAUAAUUAUUGGUAAUUUUGAAAACGAAAGAGAUUCAUGGUCUACAAAAUGUUACAGAAUUUUGAAGCUAGGGCUUGGGGGCGUGUAUUUCUUCAUUUUGUGUCCCGUUUUCUCUAAAAUAGAUAAGUUUCUUCACUAUACUGAACUAAGCUUACAAAUUUUUCAACUUCCUAUGACUAGUGAUAAAUUUGCAGCAAAAGCAGUCAUUUUGCUUAAUUGAUUUCUGCAGUGGGCUAGUAGCCGAGGCUGAUAUAGAACUUUUUCAGCUUUUAUAGAUAUCAUAUCUUUCGUCUACUGCUGCCUCUGGAAAUUUGUUCCAACUUCCAGAAUGUAGGAAGCAAGAUCAAGUCUGUAAUAUAGCUAAGCUGUUACAACUUUUGGAUCUCAUUGAAUACUCCUUUAUCAAUUUGGAGAAGAAAGAAUCCUCUCUUUCCAAUAGCUUUGCUGGUGUGUCAUAUUCGGCUAUUCUUCCUGUUAAAGGGCAAGUGAAGGAAUUCACAUAUAGAAUUAGAUGCUUAUUCAAUUCAGUAGGAUAAAGAGAUUUAGAUGCAAUAAAAUUUUACCUUCAUUCAAGACUAAGAUAAGGUCACUAUCAAUGACGGUGUGGAUUCUAUGAGCUAUUGUCACAACUGUUCUAUUUCUGAACUCUUGACUGAUAAUCUUUUGUAACACUGCAUCAGUUGCAGCAUCAACUGAUGCUGUUGCUUCAUCCAGAACGAGAAUGCUGCUUUUCUUCAGCAAGGCUCUUCCAAGACAGAAUAGCUGCCUUUGACCAACACUCCAGUUUUCUCCAUUUUCAACCACUGUGAAACUGAAUACAUUAGUAGGUUUCAAGAAGGAAGUAUGUCCUUGUUUCGUAAAAAUUCUGAGGCUUAAGAUUCUACAAUUUUAUCAAGCAAUUUCUAGUCGAACCUGUAGAUUCUAGUUUUUCUGGCUUUCCGCAUAUUAUAUCACCAAGUUGGCAUUUGUCCAGAGCCUGACAAAAGGAGCCGUGACUACAUUAUUCACUGUUCAAAUCACUAGUACUUAAGUAAAUUUCAACUCUUUCCUUGAAUGCAUCAUAAAAACCUAUGUUCCAUUCAUUUAGACUUUGCAAGGCAAGUGCAAGAUCUAUUAGAGGGUUAACAAACUCUUUGUUCUUUUGGUUUGUUACCAUGCAAAAAUGUUGAUUUAUUAGCCAAUCUUGUGAAUUUAAGUGGACUUCUUUGCAUAAUAGUUUUUCAGUACUCAGUGCAAUAAGUACCUCCCAGAUUUCUGUAUCAGAGUGCUGUGCUAGUGGAUCUAGGUUUCCUCUAACUGUUCCCUCAAACAUUGUUGGAUCCUGAGGAAUAAUACUAAGCCUUGACCUCAAAUCAUGAAGACCUAUCUUGCAAAUAUCUAUAUCAUCGAUGCUAAUGCUUCCUUCUUGGGGUUCUACUAUCCGGAAAAGGGCCUGAAUGAGGCUUGAUUUACCACUUCCUGUUCUGCCCACAACACCGACUUUCUUACCUCCCGGCAAUGUGCAUGUUAUGUUUUUCAAAACAGAAGGGAGGUGUUCAGCAUAACGUAUCUGCAGAUAGGGGUAUGGUGAUAAUAUCAGUGGGUGGAAAUAUUAAGUUAAUCAAACUAGAAAAUAUGUAAACAAGUAUAUAAUAUUCCUGCUAGUUUUUGAGUAAAUAUAGCUUUAUUCCUUGCAUCUUUGACAUCUAUUACUACUGGAUGAUAUCCUACUGCGUUAUUGCAAACCUCAUAAUCGAGUCUAGUUUUAUCUUAGCCACAGGAUACUGUCUUUACCUGCAAAGUUUGGAAGGAAAUUGUACCAGUUUCUGGCCAAGUACUUGAUGGUCUGCUAUUUUCAAUCACAAGAGGUGCUUCACUGGCAAGGUUUGAGUACUGGAGAAUCCUUUCAACUGAUAUCAUUUUGUUUUCAGCAUUGCAAAUAUUCCAUAUAACGGAAGCUUGUAAAAUAUUCAAAUUGAUCCCAUAUGUUACUGCUAAUCCUGCAAUGCCUGUAGAAUAUAAAGCACCAUCAGUUUCCUCUGAUUUCUUUUAUGAAGUUGAAGUUCUUAACACCUGUCAUCCACCACUAAAUCAACAAAAAAAAAGAAAGGAACUUCUGAUUAUCCUGACUUUCUUAAGAAACAUGACUUUGAUAGAUUACGUGCUUUUACCAUUUUAGUUCCUACUGUGCUCUACAUAAAAACAUAAAGACAACCAGUUUCUGAUGCUUACUUGGAUUUAUAAUUCCUUCGGGGAGUGUGACUAGCAGAACAAGGGAGAAGGCAAAAACAAAAUUAGAUAGCUGAUUCAGUCUAAAAGAAAGCCACUCCAUUGCUGAUACAUUGUGAAACCAUGGCCUUGAAUGAUCAUCUAUGAAACAAAGGUUUGUGUGCGCAAAGCGAUCUUUUUGGUUGAAAGCACGAAUUGUUGCUGCUCCUGCGAGUGAUUCUCCAAAGUGAUGGAGAAUUGGAGCUCUUUGAACUCCAGAUAAACGAGCAAGCUCCCUUGCAGUUGGUAUGUAGUAUUGCUGGCAGUUUUAACAAAAAUAACUUUAAUUGACAUUUUACAAAAGAAACGUACAGUUUGUUUAUCUCUAAAUAAUAAUUUUACCAAUAUUUUCCCAAACUCCACUUACUGAUGAAUACAAAAUUCUUUUACAAGGUAGCUCAAUGAGAACUGCUUAUUUUAGCAGAAAACUUGGUUUUAUCAUCGUGUCUUCCUACCCUAACUUGACCACUAGAGUACUUUGUCUAAAACACGACAGCAACUUUGUUUUAAUUAUUUAGCAUUCCAAGAAUUAAACAUGUACUGCUUAUUUACCUGGUACCAAAUGCAGACUGCUGUUACUGGAAUAAAGAUGACAAAUACUUCCCAUGCAGCCUGCGACAUGACUGCAAUUGUCCCAAUAAGCUGAAUAAUGGAGAAUGCACACCAACCCAACUUGUUUGCCAUUUCCAAGUCUAGAACACUUUGAUCUGUUGAUACCUGUUCAUGUAAUAAGAUGUCUUGAUGAUUGAUCCAAUAGGAUUUCAUUAAUGAAUCAACUGAAUUUCAGCCUUAGGUUGUAUGAGAAAUAUAAGAGAAGAGUAUUAUUGAAUUGUUGUAUCUACAUUAUUACAAUGAGAGCCUAUUUAUAUACAUUACAUUCCAAUCCUUUUCCAAGCAGGACACUACAUUACAAUCCUUUUUCAAGUAGGAUUCUGUAUACUAUUCCUUCUCCUACUCAAUAUUCUCACUUCCCGCUCAAGAUGGUGCAUACAAGUCAUAUGUGUACCAAGCUUGUCAUGGAUGUAAUUAAUACGAGGAUUAGUGAGGGACUUGGUCAAGAUAUCUGUAAGAAAACCGAUAAGGACUGCUCCAGACGUAUGGGCGAUCACAGUUGAAAAGGAACAAACUAAAAGAGUGGUCAGUUGUCGCUGGAAAGUCGAUUUGUCGCUGGAAAGUUGUCGGAAACUGGUAUAAAAUAUAUGGGUCAUCUCGAAAUCAAGAGAUAAGUAGAUCUUCAAUAAGAAAGACACUGAAAAACUAGCCGGAACAUGCUCACACAUCGAAUUAUUAGAUUUGGUGGCUAAAAAGUGGUCGGAAUUUGGGAAAAAAUUAUAUGGAUAGGGUCGGAAUGGUGAGAUGACCUACUGAGAAAGAGAAAUUAUAUGGCUAGGGUUGAAAUGAUGGCACGACCCUACUGCAAAAUAGAUUGUAUAUGUAGGGUCGGAAUGACGGCAUGCAACGAGAAAUUAUAUGGGUAGGGUUGGAAUGACGGCACGAUCCUAUUGAAAAAGAGAGAUUAUAUGGGAAGGAUCAGAAAGAUGCAUGAAACUAUGCAAAUCAGAUUUGAGGAGUGACCGGAAAGACGCACGAAACUCUGCAAAUCAGAUUUGAGGAGUCACCGGAAAGACGCACGAAAUGAUGCAAAUUAGAUCUGAGUAGUCAUCGGAACAAUGCAUGGUGCUAUGCAAUUUGGAUAUCAGAAAGUAGUUCGAAAAGAUGCACGGUACUAUGCAAAUUAAAUAUGAGAAAUAGUUUGGAGAAAUGUACGGUUCUACGAAAUUAGAUAUGAGAAAGUAGUCACCGAAAAUAUUCACGGUGCUAUGCAAAUCAGAUAUGAGAAAAUAGUCAUCGGAAAGAAACAUGUUGACCCAAUCUUUUGCUAACAUGAUCAUUGGCCAGACGGGCAGCAUUUAUGAGUUAUAGCAGCCCGCCGGCAACGAAAGUUCUUUGAUUCUCUACCAAGAUCAUAGAGGCUUUGAUCCCACAUGAGAAAUAUAAGAGAAGUAUAUUAUUGAAUCGUUGUAUCUAUAUUAUUUAUGGACACUACAUUCCAAUCCUUUUCCAAGCAGGAUACUACAUUACAAUCAUUGUUCACGUAGGAUUCUGUAUAUUAUUCCUUCUCCUACUCAUAUUCUAACAAGUUCUAGAGGUUAAGACAAGAAUUUACACUUCACUUCACUUUUGUCAUGUUUUUAUCUUGACUAUCUUAUUAUGAUAUUUCUCUGUGGAUUAACUUGUGAGUUACGUUGGUUGAGAGGACAAAUUCAGAUACACCGGAAAACGCCUACUUGCUUUAUGCAGUUGUGAGAUAUUAGCUAACAUUCCAUUACUUAGCUUAUAUCAAAUAUGUUCCUCCAACUUAUAGCUUUUAUCAUGCCUGAUUUCUUCCUAUUUAUUCCUUUUUAACAUGUACCAAGGAUAUGUACCUAUCCGUGUAGAUGCAGGAUAAGCAAAACUACCCAACUAUUACUACAUAUGCAGGAUGAAUACUAGGCUAAAUCCACACAUCUCAUUCAAAUUAAGGGAUGUAAACUGCAGCUGAUAUGCUGUCCUCAUAUCCGAUCCCAAUCAACUAACUUUGAUUUACUUACUCGAUUUAAGAUUCUUCCUGUAGGAGUAGAGUCAAAGAAUGACAUAGGAGCACGAAGGAUGCUGUGCAGCAUGCUUCUAAAGAGCUUUUCUGCUGUUCGAAGGCCUGUUAUAACGACAAAUGAUGACCGGACUAGCACACAAAGAGAAC